This 310-nucleotide ribosomal RNA is filed under the name uncultured Pelagophyceae. RNAcentral describes it as "partial Bacterial large subunit ribosomal RNA". It matches the Rfam family "Bacterial large subunit ribosomal RNA", at positions 1637 to 1962 of the family's 2925-position model. Lineage: Eukaryota; Pelagophyceae. The record is from RNAcentral.
AGUGCCUGUACCAUAAACCGACACAGGUGGGUAAGUAGAGAAUACUAAGGGGCGCGAGAUAACUCUCUCUAAGGAACUCGGCAAAAUAACCCCGUAACUUUGGGAGAAGGGGUGCCUAUUAGGCUGCAAUAACAAGGCCCAAGCGACUGUUUACCAAAAACACAGGUCUCCGCAAAGUCGCAAGACAAUGUAUGGGGGCUGACGCCUGCCCAGUGCCGGAAGGUUAAGGACGUUGGUUAGUCUAUGACAAAGCUGACAACCGAAGCCCCGGUGAACGGCGGCCGUAACAAUAACGGUCCUAAGGUAGCGA